RNAcentral lists this long non-coding RNA (230 nucleotides) under Physcomitrium patens. RNAcentral describes it as "long non-coding RNA (PPAT_LNC014670)". The record is from RNAcentral. Lineage: Eukaryota; Viridiplantae; Streptophyta; Bryopsida; Funariales; Funariaceae.
AGGAGAAGAAACAAUGCAUACAUAAGAUAGAAUUAUCAAUUGCAAUAUUUUCUUUGAUAUAAUACAAAAGACAUAUAGCAUUCUUGGGUGUUUUAGUUGAUCAAGGGACAAUUAAUUGUGUGAUCUUAAUGUGAAAAUUCAUGUGGAUAGUCUUUUUUCAUGUUUAAAUCCUCCAAUAUGGAUUAAUUCCAAUUAGAUUAGUCUAGAAUAAAUAAAAUCAUAAUUCAUUG